This is a long non-coding RNA of Canis lupus familiaris (dog), 1844 nucleotides long. RefSeq lists it as uncharacterized. The record is from RefSeq and is a predicted model, not a curated record. The transcript has 2 exons. Lineage: Eukaryota; Metazoa; Chordata; Mammalia; Carnivora; Canidae.
UGCCCUUCCCCCCCCGCCCCCCGCCCCCCGCCCCGAUAUUCGGGAAGAUUUGGGGGCCGCCGCCUGUGUCGUUCGAUAUGAGACCAAAAGUCCUUAUUUUUGUCGUUUUCACAGGUGACGGUAAAGAAUCUGCGUUCAGGGAAGGUGUGGGUUAUUUGCUGAAGGCCGCACAGCCAGGGAGUUAGCCGCUGUGCAUGGUAUCUGACACCUAGUUUUGGUAAGAAAUAGUGACUGGUAAACAACUCGUUGUGUAUGUGACCCCCAGAGAGGAGUUUGGAGGAGCCCAGUGUGUGGGGCCAAGUUGUAGAAUGGAACAUUCGUGUCAUUUUGCUCCAUUCAGCCAACCAACCGAGUCGGUGCGGGCAGCAGAAGUUCGGAGUUUCAGAUCCGAAUUGGAGCUGUGAACACACGUUAGGAAGUAAUUAGUGGGUGGAGGUGGUGUAGCUUCUAGUCACGCCGUGUAUCUAGGAGGAGACUUCUGCAGGUUUCUCAUUGUUCACACCAGAAAACAGUAGACUUUAUGUAUGUUCAGUCUUCCCUCUUGCUGAGACAUUGGCAGAGCUGUGAGCUUCCGCAUGGGGCCAGAAAAGGAACUUGCCGCCGCAUGAAUACGGAGAGGGGAACGGACCGCACACAUUUCGGAGGGUUGGGUGAGGGCUCUCGCACACCUAGGAUACCCUGAGAAAAGCCAGUGAGGACUGCUGUAGCUCAGACGCUUCUUUCAACGCAGCCUCUGCGUGCACCCGUUUAGGGCCUUGGCCUCAGCAGGUAUGUGGGUUGACAGAGGCUGGUGAGUGCUGCCCAAUGACUGUGGGGUGAGUGUGGGAGGAUCUUCACCUUUGGGCUGCCUGCCUACAUUUGCCCCUUGGGAACUCAGGCUCAGUAUUUUAAAAUCCUUAGGUAUGAACUGUAACUUUGGGUAAGUUACUGUUAAAUCAAUGUAAGAUAACAGAAAAAUAUAGAAAUGGGAAACUACCUUUUUUUUUUUUUUUAGAUUUUAUUUAUUCCUGAUAGACACAGAGAGAGAGAGAGAGGGACAGAGACACAGGCAGAGGGAGAAGCAGGCUCCAUGCCAGGAGCCGGACGCGGGACUCCAUCCCGGGACCCCAGGAUCACACCCUGGGUCAAAGGCGGGUGCCAAACCGCUGAGUCACCCAGGGAUCCCAGGAAACUACCUUUUUAUCUUUGGUCUGUCAGUCUUUUUUUCAGAGUUGUAUCAUGUAAAGCAUUCACCUUUGGAUGGCUUCUUGGAAGCUGAAAAACAGAAGGACUAUCUGCUUUGCCCCAAAUUUUCCUGAUCCCUUCAGGCAUCAGUUGGGGUCCCCUCUUUGUGUUGGCACCCAUCUGUGGGUGUGGCACCUGAGGGGGGCAGGAGGGAGGCUGCUCUGUGUCUUCCCCCUUACUGCAUGUGCUGCUGCUCCCGAGGACUGGCUUGAAAAAAGCCCAGGACAUUCGGUUUAGACAGAUGGAGGGCAGGGUCAUUUUCAAAACGAAAUGAGUGCACAAAUCACACUGUGAAAUUGGCAUGACCAUCACUGCUGCUGUGAUAGACUGACUUUUAUUUAGUGUCUGAUAGGCAGUUGGGGAAUAGAUUAGUUUUUUUUUUUUUUUGAGGUGGGGCGAAAAGAAGGCCCAUUAAUUAAUGAUAGAAAUUCUGGAAAGCAGUAAACGGGAUGGAAUAUUAUAAAAUGUCAUAAAGGCUCAUUUUGUUUCCAACAAUCUUGAAAACUGGAGCAUGUAUCAAAAGGUAAAUGUAUCGUACCAUUCUGAACAAUAAGAAAACAUUUGGUGGUUUCAAUAAAAUGAUUUAGUGCCUUGUUGAAAGAAACCAGGCUUUGAGAAAA